This 459-nucleotide ribosomal RNA is filed under the name uncultured bacterium. RNAcentral describes it as "partial 16S ribosomal RNA". It matches the Rfam family "Bacterial small subunit ribosomal RNA", at positions 338 to 795 of the family's 1533-position model. The record is from RNAcentral.
CCUACGGGAGGCAGCAGUGAGGAAUAUUGGUCAAUGGCCGCAGGGCUGAACCAGCCAAGUCGCGUGAGUGAUGACGGUCCUAUGGAUUGUAAACCUCUUUUGUCAGGGAGCAAAGGGCGCCACGUGUGGCGUUUUGCGAGUACCUGUACAAAAAGCAUCGGCUAAAUCCGUGCCAGCAGCCGCGGUAAUACGGAGGAGGAGAGCGUUAUCCGGAUUUAUUGGGUUUAACGGGUGCGCAGGCGGAAUGUCAAGUCAGCGGUAAAAUUUCGGGGCCAAACCCCGUCGUGCCGUUGAAACUGGCGUUCUUGAGUGAGCGAGAAGUAUGCGGAAUGCGUGGUGUAGCGGUGAAAUGCAUAGAUAUCACGAAGAACUCCGAUUGCGAAGGCAGCAUACCGGAGCUCAACUGACGCUCAUGCACGAAAGCGUGGGUAGCGAACAGGAUUAGAUACCCGUGUAGUC